GUCCACGCCGUAAACGAUGAAUGCUAGAUGUUGGGGGCCUAGCUCCUCAGUGUCGAAGCUAACGCGAUAAGCAUUCCGCCUGGGGAGUACGGCCGCAAGGUUAAAACUCAAAGGAAUUGACGGGGGCCCGCACAAGCGGUGGAGCAUGUGGUUUAAUUCGACGCAACGCGAAGAACCUUACCAGCUCUUGACAUGGGGGUUAUGGAUCUCGGAGACGGGAUCCUUCGGUUCGGCCGGGCCCACACAGGUGCUGCAUGGCUGUCGU
RNAcentral lists this ribosomal RNA (265 nucleotides) under uncultured bacterium. Its description in RNAcentral is "partial 16S ribosomal RNA". It matches the Rfam family "Bacterial small subunit ribosomal RNA", at positions 793 to 1055 of the family's 1533-position model. The record is from RNAcentral.